CUCAGGAGGGUGUGGUCCCUCACCCUAGAUUGUGAAAGGGUGCAGGCCAGGCUGAGGGACCCCACUGGUGCAAG
RNAcentral lists this microRNA precursor (74 nucleotides) under Myotis davidii. RNAcentral describes it as "mir-9193 microRNA precursor family". It matches the Rfam family "mir-9193 microRNA precursor family". The record is from Rfam by way of RNAcentral. Lineage: Eukaryota; Metazoa; Chordata; Mammalia; Chiroptera; Vespertilionidae.